This 2897-nucleotide ribosomal RNA is filed under the name Klebsiella pneumoniae. Its description in RNAcentral is "bacterial LSU rRNA". It matches the Rfam family "Bacterial large subunit ribosomal RNA". The record is from RNAcentral. Lineage: Bacteria; Pseudomonadati; Pseudomonadota; Gammaproteobacteria; Enterobacterales; Enterobacteriaceae.
UUAAGCGACUAAGCGUACACGGUGGAUGCCCUGGCAGUCAGAGGCGAUGAAGGACGUGCUAAUCUGCGAAAAGCGUCGGUAAGGUGAUAUGAACCGUUAUAACCGGCGAUGUCCGAAUGGGGAAACCCAGUGCAAUUCGUUGCACUAUCGUUAACUGAAUACAUAGGUUAACGAGGCGAACCGGGGGAACUGAAACAUCUAAGUACCCCGAGGAAAAGAAAUCAACCGAGAUUCCCCCAGUAGCGGCGAGCGAACGGGGAGCAGCCCAGAGUCUGAAUCAGCUUGUGUGUUAGUGGAACGGUCUGGAAAGUCCGACGGUACAGGGUGAUAGUCCCGUACACCAAAAUGCACAGGCUGUGAACUCGAAGAGUAGGGCGGGACACGUGGUAUCCUGUCUGAAUAUGGGGGGACCAUCCUCCAAGGCUAAAUACUCCUGACUGACCGAUAGUGAACCAGUACCGUGAGGGAAAGGCGAAAAGAACCCCGGCGAGGGGAGUGAAAAAGAACCUGAAACCGUGUACGUACAAGCAGUGGGAGCACCUUCGGGUGUGACUGCGUACCUUUUGUAUAAUGGGUCAGCGACUUAUAUUCUGUAGCAAGGUUAACCGUAUAGGGGAGCCGCAGGGAAACCGAGUCUUAACUGGGCGUUAAGUUGCAGGGUAUAGACCCGAAACCCGGUGAUCUAGCCAUGGGCAGGUUGAAGGUUGGGUAACACUAACUGGAGGACCGAACCGACUAAUGUUGAAAAAUUAGCGGAUGACUUGUGGCUGGGGUGAAAGGCCAAUCAAACCGGGAGAUAGCUGGUUCUCCCCGAAAGCUAUUUAGGUAGCGCCUCGUGAAUUCAUCUUCGGGGUAGAGCACUGUUUCGGCUAGGGGGUCAUCCCGACUUACCAACCCGAUGCAAACUACGAAUACCGAAGAAUGUUAUCACGGGAGACACACGGCGGGUGCUAACGUCCGUCGUGAAGAGGGAAACAACCCAGACCGCCAGCUAAGGUCCCAAAGUCAUGGUUAAGUGGGAAACGAUGUGGGAAGGCACAGACAGCCAGGAUGUUGGCUUAGAAGCAGCCAUCAUUUAAAGAAAGCGUAAUAGCUCACUGGUCGAGUCGGCCUGCGCGGAAGAUGUAACGGGGCUAAACCAUGCACCGAAGCUGCGGCAGCGACACUAUGUGUUGUUGGGUAGGGGAGCGUUCUGUAAGCCUGCGAAGGUGUGCUGUGAGGCAUGCUGGAGGUAUCAGAAGUGCGAAUGCUGACAUAAGUAACGAUAAAGCGGGUGAAAAGCCCGCUCGCCGGAAGACCAAGGGUUCCUGUCCAACGUUAAUCGGGGCAGGGUGAGUCGACCCCUAAGGCGAGGCCGAAAGGCGUAGUCGAUGGGAAACAGGUUAAUAUUCCUGUACUUGGUGUUACUGCGAAGGGGGGACGGAGAAGGCUAUGUUAGCCGGGCGACGGUUGUCCCGGUUUAAGCAUGUAGGCUGGUUGUCCAGGCAAAUCCGGAUAAUCAAGCUGAGGUGUGAUGACGAGGCACUACGGUGCUGAAGUAACAAAUGCCCUGCUUCCAGGAAAAGCCUCUAAGCAUCAGGUAACAUUAAAUCGUACCCCAAACCGACACAGGUGGUCAGGUAGAGAAUACCAAGGCGCUUGAGAGAAACUCGGGUGAAGGAACUAGGCAAAAUGGUGCCGUAACUUCGGGAGAAGGCACGCUGGUGUGUAGGUGAAGCCCCUGCGGGUGAGCUGAGACCAGUCGAAGAUACCAGCUGGCUGCAACUGUUUAUUAAAAACACAGCACUGUGCAAACACGAAAGUGGACGUAUACGGUGUGACGCCUGCCCGGUGCCGGAAGGUUAAUUGAUGGGGUUAUCCGUAAGGAGAAGCUCUUGAUCGAAGCCCCGGUAAACGGCGGCCGUAACUAUAACGGUCCUAAGGUAGCGAAAUUCCUUGUCGGGUAAGUUCCGACCUGCACGAAUGGCGUAAUGAUGGCCAGGCUGUCUCCACCCGAGACUCAGUGAAAUUGAACUCGCUGUGAAGAUGCAGUGUACCCGCGGCAAGACGGAAAGACCCCGUGAACCUUUACUAUAGCUUGACACUGAACAUUGAGCCUUGAUGUGUAGGAUAGGUGGGAGGCUUUGAAGCGUGGACGCCAGUCUGCGUGGAGCCAACCUUGAAAUACCACCCUUUAAUGUUUGAUGUUCUAACGUUGGCCCCUUACCGGGGUUGCGGACAGUGUCUGGUGGGUAGUUUGACUGGGGCGGUCUCCUCCCAAAGCGUAACGGAGGAGCACGAAGGUUAGCUAAUCCUGGUCGGACAUCAGGAGGUUAGUGCAAUGGCAUAAGCUAGCUUGACUGCGAGCGUGACGGCGCGAGCAGGUGCGAAAGCAGGUCAUAGUGAUCCGGUGGUUCUGAAUGGAAGGGCCAUCGCUCAACGGAUAAAAGGUACUCCGGGGAUAACAGGCUGAUACCGCCCAAGAGUUCAUAUCGACGGCGGUGUUUGGCACCUCGAUGUCGGCUCAUCACAUCCUGGGGCUGAAGUAGGUCCCAAGGGUAUGGCUGUUCGCCAUUUAAAGUGGUACGCGAGCUGGGUUUAGAACGUCGUGAGACAGUUCGGUCCCUAUCUGCCGUGGGCGCUGGAGAAUUGAGGGGGGCUGCUCCUAGUACGAGAGGACCGGAGUGGACGCAUCACUGGUGUUCGGGUUGUCAUGCCAAUGGCACUGCCCGGUAGCUAAAUGCGGAAGAGAUAAGUGCUGAAAGCAUCUAAGCACGAAACUUGCCCCGAGAUGAGUUCUCCCUGAGACUUUAAGUCUCCUGAAGGAACGUUGAAGACGACGACGUUGAUAGGCCGGGUGUGUAAGCGCAGCGAUGCGUUGAGCUAACCGGUACUAAUGAACCGUGAGGCUUAACCUU